UUCGUGCUUGAGUGGUAAGAACAACUGUCUCUCACUCAGGAGUCCCGGGUUCGAUCCCCGGUUGAGAAG
Rhamnusium bicolor is the source of this 69-nucleotide non-coding RNA. NCBI's taxonomy places the organism in Eukaryota, Metazoa, Arthropoda, Insecta, Coleoptera, Cerambycidae. The record is from the annotation of a GenBank genome assembly.